CAAAAACAUCGCCUCCCGCAAAAAUCAAUGUAUAGGAGGUCUUGCCUGCCCAGUGACUAUAAGUUAAACGGCCGCGGUAUUUUGACCGUGCAAAGGUAGCGCAAUCACUUGUCUUUUAAAUGAAGACCUGUAUGAAUGGUGAAACGAGGGCUUAACUGUCUCCCCCUUCUAGUCAAUGAAAUUGAUCUACCCGUGCAGAAGCGGAUAUAAUAAUACAAGACGAGAAGACCCUUUGGAGCUUAAGAUAAAAGACCAAUUAUGUUAAAAGUCCUAAAACAAUAAACCAAAUAAUGCUGGUCCUAAUCUUCGGUUGGGGUGACCACGGGAGAAAACAAAACUCCCAUGCGGAUUGGGGUUAUUCCCUAAAACUAAGAAAGACAUCUCUAAGACACAGAACAUCUGACCACAAAGACCCGGCUACAUGCCGACCAACGGACCAAGUUACCCUAGGGAUAACAGCGCAAUCCCCUUCCAGAGUCCAUAUCGACAAGGGGGUUUACGACCUCGAUGUUGGAUCAGGACAUCCUAAUGGUGCAGCCGCUAUUAAGGGUUC
Molecule: ribosomal RNA, 553 nt
Filed under: Peckoltia lineola
Lineage: Eukaryota; Metazoa; Chordata; Actinopteri; Siluriformes; Loricariidae
Description: partial 16S ribosomal RNA
Rfam family: Bacterial large subunit ribosomal RNA
Source: RNAcentral